CGAUGCUCUGUCACUGCUCAAUCUGGUCGACAUCUGGUCUUUGAGCUCCGAAAAGUACUCUAUCUGCUUCGUCAUGUUGAUGGUAGCUCCCUGGUGUGAUCAUCAUUUGUUACUGCACUGGCUGAGGGUGUAAAAGUGUAGUUCUGAUUUCAACUAUCUCCAAGUCCAACUAUGUAAUUGUGCUUCAUGAAAUACAGAGCUGGAGUACAGAAGUUGUUGCUUUGAAGAUGUGGAGAAUUUUCUCAACUUUAGAACAUGUUGGCACUUCACAAACAUUCCCAGGAAACUGGUCAAACAGUUCUUACGUACCGUGGAAUCAAGAACACCAGAGCCUCCAGAAGCAUAGUUGGCUCCUCUCAUGGAGGCAAGAGCAGCACCUGUCAUCUUCUGAGUCUUGUUGCUCAUCGCCUCGCCGCUGCUGCUGGCGACGAGAGAGAGUUGGCUCACCCAAGAAGUCUGCGCCGAUGAGGCCAUUGCUGAACCUGCCCGUUGGCUCGCUGCCAGGGAGGUCGACGCCAUUGUGAGGGAAGUCAGCCCUGGCACUGCUCCCAGGCAAGUAGUUGUUGUUCCCCACG
This is a long non-coding RNA of Brachypodium distachyon (stiff brome), 575 nucleotides long. RefSeq lists it as uncharacterized. The record is from RefSeq and is a predicted model, not a curated record. Lineage: Eukaryota; Viridiplantae; Streptophyta; Magnoliopsida; Poales; Poaceae. The transcript is spliced from 3 exons.